Molecule: ribosomal RNA, 496 nt
Filed under: uncultured bacterium
Lineage: Bacteria
Description: partial 16S ribosomal RNA
Rfam family: Bacterial small subunit ribosomal RNA
Source: RNAcentral
GAUGAACGCUGGCGGCGUGCCUAAUACAUGCAAGUCGAGCGAACAGACGAGGAGCUUGCUCCUCUGACGUUAGCGGCGGACGGGUGAGUAACACGUGGAUAACCUACCUAUAAGACUGGGAUAACUUCGGGAAACCGGAGCUAAUUCCGGAUAAUAUAUUGAACCGCAUGGUUCAAUAGUGAAAGACGGUUUUGCUGUCACUUAUAGAUGGAUCCGCGCCGCAUUAGCUAGUUGGUAAGGUAACGGCUUACCAAGGCAACGAUGCGUAGCCGACCUGAGAGGGUGAUCGGCCACACUGGAACUGAGACACGGUCCAGACUCCUACGGGAGGCAGCAGUAGGGAAUCUUCCGCAAUGGGCGAAAGCCUGACGGAGCAACGCCGCGUGGGUGAUGAAGGUCUUCGGAUCGUAAAACUCUGUUAUAGGGAAGAACAAAUGUGUAAGUAACUAUGCACGUCUUGACGGUACCUAAUCAGAAAGCCACGGCUAACUACGUG